GACGAACGCUGGCGGCGUGCUUAACACAUGCAAGUCGAGCGGUAAGGCCCUUUCGGGGGUACACGAGCGGCGAACGGGUGAGUAACACGUGGGUGACCUGCCCUCAGCUCUGGGAUAAGCCUGGGAAACCGGGUCUAAUACUGGAUAUGACUCCAUGACGCAUGUUGUGGGGUGAAAGCCUUGUGCGGCUGAGGAUGGGCCCGCGGCCUAUCAGCUUGUUGGUGGGGUGAGGCCUACCAAGGCGACGACGGGUAGCCGGCCUGAGAGGGCGACCGGCCACACUGGGACUGAGACACGG
This 298-nucleotide ribosomal RNA is filed under the name uncultured bacterium. RNAcentral's name for it is "partial 16S ribosomal RNA". It matches the Rfam family "Bacterial small subunit ribosomal RNA", at positions 28 to 329 of the family's 1533-position model. The record is from RNAcentral.